GACGAACGCUGGCGGCGUGCUUAACACAUGCAAGUCGAGCGGUAAGGCCCUUUCGGGGUACGACGAGCGGCGAACGGGUGAGUAACACGUGGGUGACCUGCCCUCCAGCUCUGGGAUAAGCCUGGGAAACCGGGUCUAAUACCGGAUAUGACUCCAUGACGCAUGUUGUGGGGUGGAAAGCCUUGUGCGGCUGAGGAUGGGCCCGCGGCCUAUCAGCUUGUUGGUGGGGUGAUGGCCUACCAAGGCGACGACGGGUAGCCGGCCUGAGAGGGCGACCGGCCACACUGGGACUGAGACACGGCCCAGACUCCUACGGGAGGCAGCAGUGGGGAAUCUUGCGCAAUGGGCGAAAGCCUGACGCAGCGACG
RNAcentral lists this ribosomal RNA (368 nucleotides) under uncultured bacterium. RNAcentral's name for it is "bacterial SSU rRNA". It matches the Rfam family "Bacterial small subunit ribosomal RNA", at positions 28 to 396 of the family's 1533-position model. The record is from RNAcentral.